UACAGGGGGCUCGAGCGUUAGUCGGAAUCACUGGGCUUAAAGGGCGCGUAGGCGGCGUAACAAGUCACUUGUGAAAUCUCCGGGCUUAACCCGGAGCGGCCAAGUGAUACUGUUGUGCUAGAGUGCGGAAGGGGCUACUGGAAUUCUCGGUGUAGCGGUGAAAUGCGUAGAUAUCGCUUGGAACGCCAACGGUGAAAACAGGUUGCUGGGGUUGAGCCGACGCUGAGACACGAAAGCCAGGGGAGCAAACGGG
Molecule: ribosomal RNA, 253 nt
Filed under: uncultured bacterium
Lineage: Bacteria
Description: partial 16S ribosomal RNA
Rfam family: Bacterial small subunit ribosomal RNA
Source: RNAcentral